CGCCUAUUAGCUAGCCCCACAAACCAAAUCCAACAAACAAACAUAAACUAACCCCAAAAACACUUAACCUACCCAAACAAAACAUUUUCCCUCCCUAGUAUGGGCGACAGAAAAG
This 115-nucleotide ribosomal RNA is filed under the name Ferdauia orthogrammus (island trevally). RNAcentral describes it as "partial 16S ribosomal RNA". The record is from RNAcentral. Lineage: Eukaryota; Metazoa; Chordata; Actinopteri; Carangiformes; Carangidae.